RNAcentral lists this ribosomal RNA (708 nucleotides) under Triticum aestivum (bread wheat). Its description in RNAcentral is "partial small subunit ribosomal RNA". Lineage: Eukaryota; Viridiplantae; Streptophyta; Magnoliopsida; Poales; Poaceae. The record is from RNAcentral.
AUGUUCCGACGCCUUUCCAACACACUCACCAUGAGCCCAACAGCAGCACUGGCAUCUGGUAUGACCAGCCAGCACCACCAGCUUCAGCAGCGUGCACCGGUGAGCGGCACGUCCAAGGGCAAGGCCAAGCUCAAAGCUGGGAUGCCUCUCAGGCGUAGCCGUAUUACUCAGAUUGCAGAGUCUUGUCUGAAGUCCUCUACUCCUCUGCGGCACCUGUCCCCCAAGGAGCGUCUUCGCGAGGCAAAGCGUGAGGAGCUUGGGCUCAUCUCCAAGGAACGGCAACGUGAGCUUGACGCUGCCAAGGCUAAAGCUAAAGCUAAAUCCAAGGGUGCCAGUGGAGGUGAUGGUGACCGCGUUCUGAUGGGUCCGCCGGGCCUUGACUAUAUCAGUCUUGGUCUGGUGGAUGAGGAGGCUAUCCCUAAGUAUGAGCUGACAGUUGAAGAUGGCCUGCGUCUUGCCAUAGAAUACAGCCAUGUGCUAAUGCGACGACACCGUGCACGUCAAACUGCAGAGUCAACACUCUUGAGGCUCAAGAAGGAGGCCAUUGCUGCACUCCCUGAGAAGCUGCGGGCUGCUGCUAUGGUUCCUGACAUGACCCCGUUCCCUGCAAACCGGUACAUGGCAACACUCACACCACGGAUUGAAGGGUAUAUUGAAAAGGUGCGAGAUGCUGCCAAGAAGUAUUCAGUGAAGGAGAAACUUCGCUGA